RNAcentral lists this ribosomal RNA (253 nucleotides) under uncultured bacterium. Its description in RNAcentral is "partial 16S ribosomal RNA". It matches the Rfam family "Bacterial small subunit ribosomal RNA", at positions 524 to 776 of the family's 1533-position model. The record is from RNAcentral.
UACGUAGGUGGCAAGCGUUGUCCGGAAUUAUUGGGCGUAAAGCGCGCGCAGGCGGUCCUUUAAGUCUGAUGUGAAAGCCCACGGCUCAACCGUGGAGGGUCAUUGGAAACUGGGGGACUUGAGUGCAGAAGAGGAAAGUGGAAUUCCACGUGUAGCGGUGAAAUGCGUAGAGAUGUGGAGGAACACCAGUGGCGAAGGCGACUUUCUGGUCUGUAACUGACGCUGAGGAGCGAAAGCGUGGGGAGCAAACAGG